GACGAACGCUGGCGGCGUGCCUAAUACAUGCAAGUUGAGCGAUGAAGAUUGGUGCUUGCACCAAUUUGAAGAGCAGCGAACGGGUGAGUAACGCGUGGGGAAUCUGCCUUUGAGCGGGGGACAACAUUUGGAAACGAAUGCUAAUACCGCAUAACAACUUUAAACAUAAGUUUUAAGUUUGAAAGAUGCAAUUGCAUCACUCAAAGAUGAUCCCGCGUUGUAUUAGCUGGUUGGUGAGGUAAAGGCUCACCAAGGCGAUGAUACAUAGCCGACCUGAGAGGGUGAUCGGCCACAUUGGGACUGAGACACGGCCCAAACUCCUACGGGAGGCAGCAGUAGGGAAUCUUCGGCAAUGGACGAAAGUCUGACCGAGCGACGCCGCGUGAGUGAAGAAGGUUGUCGGAUCGUAAAACUCUGUUGGUAGAGAAGAACGUUGGUGAGAGUGGAAAGCUCAUCAAGUGACGGUAACUACCCAGAAAGGGACGGCUAACUACGUG
Molecule: ribosomal RNA, 497 nt
Filed under: uncultured bacterium
Lineage: Bacteria
Description: partial 16S ribosomal RNA
Rfam family: Bacterial small subunit ribosomal RNA
Source: RNAcentral